UAAAAUCCUUUAUAACAUUAAAAUAUGGACUACAUCAUAUCCCUUAGUCUGAUGAAGCUCAAGCACAGUGGGAUAUAUAAAUGAAGUAUUCCAGAUGGCAGGGAUCAUAAGUUGAACUCACAGUUUUCUGGAUCUUUUGUUCUACAGAGGAUAUUUAGGCGCUUGAUAUGCUUGAUACUCCUCACCAGAAGAAUCUCGUGUCCUCUGAGUUGUUCUAGGAUACCUUACCUCACCUUUGAAACAUAAUCU
This 249-nucleotide long non-coding RNA is filed under the name Dromaius novaehollandiae (emu). RNAcentral's name for it is "lncRNA (ENSDNVG00000013203.1)". The record is from RNAcentral. Lineage: Eukaryota; Metazoa; Chordata; Aves; Casuariiformes; Dromaiidae.